Molecule: long non-coding RNA, 1464 nt
Organism: Strongylocentrotus purpuratus (purple sea urchin)
Lineage: Eukaryota; Metazoa; Echinodermata; Echinoidea; Camarodonta; Strongylocentrotidae
Exons: 9
Source: RefSeq, a predicted model, not a curated record
AGCAGCAGGUAUACGAGAAACGUUUAGCUAGCUGCCCAGGCCAGGCAAGUGAAAAGCAAUGUGGUCCGAGUUGUGAGGCCAGAAAAAGACAUAAUUUGCUAGGACAUAGGAACCAUAGGACUACGAGGAUGGUUGAUGUGGACAUGGAAGUGAAAAGGACACAUAAGGCAGUUUUGGCAGAGCCCAGUUGAAACACUUGAAAAUGUAACUCGACAAGUUUUAACAGCUGAAUAUGGAUUUCUCUGACAUCUCCUUUUUAGGUCAAUGAUGGAAGAACAUACUAUUCAUGUAUUACUGGCUAUGAGGCGAUAGAAUGUGCUGGAAGACCAAAAGAACCAUGAACUUGUUUGAUGAUUGGCUGCCUUCACCAUGCCGGGGGAUGGAGCCGAGAGAUGAAAACUCCAGGAUGAGGAUGUGAGAGGAGACGAUAAAACAUCACAUCGAUGACGCUGUGAAGUCAUCAGGAAUAUGAGGAUCUACAUUGCAGUAUGAUUGGCUGCCUUCACCAUGCCAGAGGAUGGAGCCAAGAGAAGACACAACAUCACAUCAAUGACUCUGUGGAGUCAUUGGGAAUAUGAGGAUCCACAUUGAAGUAUGAUUGGCUGCCUUCACCAUGCCGGGGGAUGGAGCCGAGAGAUGAAAGCUCCUGAAUGGGGAUGUAAGAGGAGACACAACAUAUGAGAAUCCACAUUGCAGAGUAAAAGAUGCCUCAUCAUGCUAGGGGAUGGAGCUGAGAGUUGAAACUCCUGGAUGGGGAUGUGAGUGAAGACACAACAUCACAUCCAUGACUCAGUGGAGUCAUUGGGAAUAUGAGGAUCCACAUUGAAGUAUGCUGUACAGUAUCUGGAUAAUCUGUUCCCCCAUCUCGGUUGCAUCAAGCUUGGUGAACAUCACUGGUUCAUCAGAUCUGCUACAAAAGAACUGGAGGACAUCUUAUAGCUAUCUGUGAGAAAAUGCGAGUGGACUUAUAACUCAACUGAAGACAUCUAGAGGACGGCCCCGGUGCUGUAGGAAUUUUAGACCUACAGCUAGUAAACAAUACAACUUUUAAUUUCAAUUUUGCCGCUGUAAGUUGCAUGGGACAUACCCAAAAGUAGGGAGACUCACUCGAGUGAAAACCUGAAUAACUCACUGGCAUUUUGAUAGUGAGCAUUUGCCAAAACCAAUCUUUGAGGUUUUUCAUGCUUAUAAGCGAUUGCUUUCCAAUUCCAAUGAAACUCAAAAAUGUGGGAAAAACCCCCAAGGGUCUUUACAUGCAUUGUAAAUACCCUAUUAUUUAGAUGAACGCAACCUUACUUUCAUGCCAUGUGUUUAGCAUAAUUUUAUUAUGUUUGUAUGAACUGUCCAGUGGUCCAAACCUUGGCAAUGAGAGGCCAAUACAAAACAGAUUAUAUUUCAAUUCUUCAAAGUGUACAUAAGCGAUGAAACGAGGUCUAGCUGCAAUAAAUGUUAGAAAUCAAAGUA